GUGCUCCAUAUGAGUAAAGAAAAUAACAAUUCAGGAAAAUGCCCGAAUCCUCACUGCUUAUGUGAGAUGAAUUUUUGGGGUAAAAGUUGCCCCAAAGGUGACCUGCCUACUUUGCGGGAUGCCUGGGUGUCGUGAUCUGUCCA
This is a small nuclear RNA of Nycticebus coucang (slow loris), 143 nucleotides long. RefSeq annotates it as U12 minor spliceosomal RNA. The record is from RefSeq and is a predicted model, not a curated record. Lineage: Eukaryota; Metazoa; Chordata; Mammalia; Primates; Lorisidae. The transcript has a single exon.